AGAAUAAAGAGUUAUCUGGUGAAACGCUCCUCUGGUGUACCUGGUGGCUCCACUCAUCCACCUCUCCCAGCCUACAGCAUUUCCAACCCAACGAGAACAGCCGGUGUGGAGAGCGACUUAUUGGAUUGGAUCUCACCCAGCAGCGACUUAUAUGCUCAACCUAUAUGUCACAGAUGGUAGGAUUUCACUGUGGUUGAUAUAGGAAAUCCACUAAGGAGUAUUGAUCUUUCUAAGAUCUGCUCUCUCUGCCUGAUCUCCACAGGAUCUGAACAUCCGCAGAGACCUGGAGGGGAGCAGAGCCGCUGGAAUCGAAGUCUACCUUUCAUUGUAAAGACACACAAGUCUCACUACAGGAGAAGUCUCACUCAGGAAGUAUCGCGAGAGGUGAGCUGAUUCAAGAAGACGACUGUGGACAUGUGAGUCAGGACGCAGGAGAGAGAAGGCUGGAGAAGAACCGCCAGCAAGAAUUCAUUUCUACCGUCAUGGCUGACUAAUCGAGAUGAGAACACUCACCUUGUAGGACUUCUAUGUGAGCGAGACUUUUGUUUCUGGCUACAAAAAGGACGAUAUUAUUUGACAAAAGGUUUGAUUCUGUAGAAACUGUUUCCAUAAUGUUUUCAGACAUUUAAAAUAACAACCAUAAACCUGUGAGAGGUAAAAAUAAGCACCUCUUCUUCUCUUCUUGUUGCUUUUUUUCUCCUUUCUCAUUUUUAAUGGCCACAACAAGUUAAAUCAUCUGGCAAUUUGACAUAAAAAAUGUCUGGAAAAGUAACAUUUCAUCUGUAACAGAAACGCGUUCUGGUAAUAAUUUCACAAAUUGUCCGAUUUGCUGUUCGAUCUUGUAGCAGAUCAAAUUAAUUCAUCUACACAUGUACUGGGACACCACAGCUUGAUUUAAAAGAAGGUUUAUGUUUGUUCCUGUGUUACGUUUAUAUAAUAAGAACACUGAUGUUGUGUGAUAGUAAAGUUCAUAUUUAUAUAAUGUUUAUUUACUGUAUCAAAGUUCUCAUUCGUUCAUCAAUCGUUGUGUUGCUACAGAUGAUUUGACAGAAUCUGGUCAAUCAUUUUAAGGUUUUUGAUAUUUAUUAUCAUUCUGUCACAUACUGUUAAUUUCUCACAGCCUAAAGAGUGAAUUGUGAAAGCAUUUCUCCAAGAAGCUGUGAGAAAAAGAAAGUAUGAAAGUGAUUUAUUGUUGAUGAUUUGACAGUGUUUGGUCAGUGAUGAGCUCUCGGUCUGUCCUGCAGUUUAUGUAUUUUACCAGGUGAACCAGCAGAGGGCGCCACAGAUAAUCAAAUCUAUUAAAACAGCAGUUCAUCUGAGAUCCAGCAGGAUGUUUCUUCUUCUUUAAUUAACAGAAUUCAGCUUUGUUGCGACGUUUUUCCUCAGACAAAUACCUUAAUAAGAAUCCAGCAUUUUCAUAUGAUUUGAUUUUAACUUCAUAGUUUGCUACAUUAAACAUUAUUUACAUUUUCUAUAUACAUAUUUUGGACUCAAUGUCAGAUCAUUACAUAAUGUUUGUAUAUAAUAAACUGCUUGUUUAUUUAGGUGCAUCUCAUUAGAUUAUAACAGAUUUCUGUAAUUAUAAUCUUACAGAUCUACAAGGUCACAAAAGAAGUCAACCGCCGUCUGAUU
Molecule: long non-coding RNA, 1632 nt
Filed under: Sparus aurata (gilthead seabream)
Lineage: Eukaryota; Metazoa; Chordata; Actinopteri; Spariformes; Sparidae
Description: lncRNA (ENSSAUG00010024623.1)
Source: RNAcentral